This 253-nucleotide ribosomal RNA is filed under the name uncultured bacterium. RNAcentral describes it as "partial 16S ribosomal RNA". It matches the Rfam family "Bacterial small subunit ribosomal RNA", at positions 524 to 776 of the family's 1533-position model. The record is from RNAcentral.
UACAGAGGGUGCGAGCGUUAAUCGGAAUUACUGGGCGUAAAGCGUGCGUAGACGGCUAUCUAAGUCGGGUGUGAAAGCCCCGGGCUCAACCUGGGAAUUGCAUUCGAGACUGAAUAGCUAGGGUACGGUAGAGGGAAGCGGAAUUUCCGGUGUAGCGGUGAAAUGCGUAGAUAUCGGGAGGAACACCAGUGGCGAAAGCGGCUACCUGGCCCACUCUUGACGCUGAGGCGCGAAAGCUAGGGGAGCAAACGGG